Molecule: ribosomal RNA, 499 nt
Filed under: uncultured Glomeromycotina
Lineage: Eukaryota; Fungi; Glomeromycota
Description: partial small subunit ribosomal RNA
Rfam family: Eukaryotic small subunit ribosomal RNA
Source: RNAcentral
CCAAUAGCGUAUAUUAAAGUUGUUGCCGUUAAAAAGCUCGUAGUUGAAUUUCGGGAUCAAUAUAUCGGUCAUGCUUAGGUAUGUACUGGUAUUAUUGAUUUCUCCCUUCUGAAGAACCAUGAUGUCAUUUAUUUGAUGUCGUGGGGAAUCAGGACUGUUACUUUGAAAAAAUUAGAGUGUUUAAAGCAGGCUUUCGCUUGAAUACAUUAGCAUGGAAUAAUGAAAUAGGACGUUUGAUUCUAUUUUGUUGGUUUCUAGGAUCGACGUAAUGAUUAAUAGGGAUAGUUGGGGGCAUUAGUAUUCAAUUGUCAGAGGUGAAAUUCUUGGAUUUAUUGAAGACUAACUACUGCGAAAGCAUUUGCCAAGGAUGUUUUCAUUAAUCAAGAACGAAAGUUAGGGGAUCGAAGACGAUCAGAUACCGUCGUAGUCUUAACCAUAAACUAUGCCGACUAGGGAUCGGAUGAUGUUAAUUUUUUAAUGACUCAUUCGGCGCCUUACG